This 1006-nucleotide long non-coding RNA is filed under the name Heterocephalus glaber (naked mole-rat). RNAcentral describes it as "lncRNA (ENSHGLG00000047953.1)". The record is from RNAcentral. Lineage: Eukaryota; Metazoa; Chordata; Mammalia; Rodentia; Bathyergidae.
UUGGUUCAUUUUGUGAAUGAACUUCUGAAGGUGUUUCAGGAAAGAACUGUGGAAUUGAUUCCUUUACUUUCUGUGGACUAUGAAGAGCCCCCAAUUGGUCCUUUGAUGGGAUUUGUGGAUGUGCCUUGAAAAACUUCAAAUGGUUUAUAGGUCUCAUUUAUUAAUAAAGAGGCUGUUAGUGUAUUCCAUGUCACCCAUCAUGAGAGGGCUAGAGCUUUGAUGGAGCACUGUGUGUGGUUGUCAGAUUGGACCAGUGAGCAUAGAGACAAUGUCUGUGGCUUUCCGUUUUGUACUCUGCAGGGAAGGAAUCUGUGCGCAGAUGUGACCUUGUUUGUACGGAAGGUGAGAAUUACUACAAGGUAGUCAGACAGGGUUCCCAUAAAGACAAUCAUGAAGUCACAAGUCCCCUUUUCUUUCUCAACAUUGCCUUCUCAGGUCUCCGUUGCUUAGAUAAGAUGGCAUUGAGAAGGGGAAGCUGAACACUGUUCCCUGACUGCAUGGUCUUAGUACAUCAUUGACCUAACAUCAAAGAGACACCCUAUGAAUGUAAUGAAUGUGGGAAAGCCUUGAGCCAUCCGCCAGCUUUCAUUCAGCACCAGCGGAUUCAUACUGGAGAGAUUCUAUGAAUGUACUGAAUGUGGAAAGGCCUUCAACCAGAGCACACAUCUCACUGAACACCAGAGAAUGCAUACUGGAGAGAAACCCUAUGAUUGUAAAGAAUGUGGAAAAACCUUCAGCUGAAGCACACAACUUACUGAACAUCUGAAAAUUCAUUCUGGUGGAAAACUCUAUCAAGGUAACAAAUGCCCAAAAUGGUUUUGCUCUAGAACAUCACUAAUUGGACAUCAAAGGGCUCAUUCAGGAGGAAAAAGCCUGCCAAUGUAAUCAAUAUGGAAAUCAUUCAACCUAAGCUCACCUCUUAUAAAACAUAAAUGGACACAUAGAGGGAAGAAAUCUUAUCAAUGUAGUAAAUGUGAUGAUGUUUUUCUAUCAUAAUACAUCUUUA